ACGAUGAAAAACAAACUUACCAUCACAAUUAAUUUUUGAACUGAGAGGGGCUCGAUGUAUGGGGUUGCGCUAUCCAUGUUUUGGAUAAGGAAAUCCUUACACGCCAAACACACUCUCUUACCAGUCCAGCACAAUACACUUUUCAAGCACGUGAUAGCCAAGCCCCUCUCACUUUUCCCUAAUGAAAGCAGCAAUUCCACAACUUGACCUGCAAAACAUAAGAUAUUAAUGAUAAUGUUUUCUUGUCGAGAAAAGAACACAUAAAAUAAUCAAGAAACCCUCUUCUUUCAAGAAACCCAACUGCCAUUAGCUUAAUCCAAGUGAACCCUCAAACUUGGAACAUGGUAAGCAAAUAAAAAAAAAUUAUUACUAAUGGGAUACUCGAUACAUCAUAUUCCUGAAAGUAGG
Molecule: long non-coding RNA, 408 nt
Filed under: Populus tremula
Lineage: Eukaryota; Viridiplantae; Streptophyta; Magnoliopsida; Malpighiales; Salicaceae
Description: long non-coding RNA (PTRE_LNC003414)
Source: RNAcentral